This 774-nucleotide ribosomal RNA is filed under the name uncultured Neocallimastigales. RNAcentral describes it as "partial large subunit ribosomal RNA". It matches the Rfam family "Eukaryotic large subunit ribosomal RNA", at positions 24 to 649 of the family's 3401-position model. The record is from RNAcentral. Lineage: Eukaryota; Fungi; Neocallimastigomycota; Neocallimastigomycetes; Neocallimastigales.
UAUGUGAUCGUCUCUCGCAUAUCAAUAAGCGGAGGAAAAGAAACUAACAAGGAUUCCCCUAGUAACGGCGAGUGAAGCGGGAAGAGCUCAAAUUUGAAAUCUUAAAGGGUUUCCCUUUACGAAUUGUAGUUUAAAGAAGUGUUUUCUGUUGAGGUUUUGGUAAGAGUUCUUUGGAAUAGGACAUCAUAGAGGGUGAGAAUCCCGUAUUUGACCUUUACUUUCAACUUUGUGAUACACUUUCAAAGAGUCGGAUUGUUUGGGAAUGCAGUCCAAAAUGGGUGGUAAAUUUCAUCUAAAGCUAAAUAUUGGCGAGAGACCGAUAGCGAACAAGUACCGAGAGGGAAAGAUGAAAAGAACUUUGAAAAGAGAGUUAAACAGUACGUGAAAUUGUCAAAAGGGAAGCGUUUGACACCAGUGUUGUUUUUCUGAAAAUCAAUUAAAGAACUGUUUAUGCUAAGCUGUUUAGACUUUAUCAGCUAUCUGUUUAGUUUUGAGCUUUUCUUUAAUGCACUUUUCAGUUAACAAGUCAACAUCAAUUUCUUUUGCUGUAAAAAAGCUUGAGGAAGGUGGCUUGAGAUUCGUCUUAAGUGUUUAUAGCCUCUUGCCUAUGCAGUCGGAGAGAUUGAGGUCUGCAGCGUAGAUCCUUCAGGGCUAAAUGCAUUUGUGCUAAGUUAUAGCAUUUUAUAGACAACUUGUUGACUAUGAUUUGUCUUGUAGCUUACUCGCUUAUGUUAUUUUACCUACGCUUAGGAUGUUGAGUAGCGACAUACGCAC